RNAcentral lists this ribosomal RNA (511 nucleotides) under Salmonella enterica subsp. enterica serovar Bovismorbificans. Its description in RNAcentral is "partial 23S ribosomal RNA". It matches the Rfam family "Bacterial large subunit ribosomal RNA", at positions 711 to 1219 of the family's 2925-position model. The record is from RNAcentral. Lineage: Bacteria; Pseudomonadati; Pseudomonadota; Gammaproteobacteria; Enterobacterales; Enterobacteriaceae.
AGACCCGAAACCCGGUGAUCUAGCCAUGGGCAGGUUGAAGGUUGGGUAACACUAACUGGAGGACCGAACCGACUAAUGUUGAAAAAUUAGCGGAUGACCUGUGGCUGGGGGUGAAAGGCCAAUCAAACCGGGAGAUAGCUGGUUCUCCCCGAAAGCUAUUUAGGUAGCGCCUCGUGAAUUCAUCUCCGGGGGUAGAGCACUGUUUCGGCUAGGGGGCCAUCCCGGCUUACCAACCCGAUGCAAACUGCGAAUACCGGAGAAUGUUAUCACGGGAGACACACGGCGGGUGCUAACGUCCGUCGUGAAGAGGGAAACAACCCAGACCGCCAGCUAAGGUCCCAAAGUCAUGGUUAAGUGGGAAACGAUGUGGGAAGGCCCAGACAGCCAGGAUGUUGGCUUAGAAGCAGCCAUCAUUUAAAGAAAGCGUAAUAGCUCACUGGUCGAGUCGGCCUGCGCGGAAGAUGUAACGGGGCUAAACCAUGCACCGAAGCUGCGGCAGCGACGUUUAUGC